This 200-nucleotide ribosomal RNA is filed under the name Klebsiella pneumoniae. Its description in RNAcentral is "partial 16S ribosomal RNA". It matches the Rfam family "Bacterial small subunit ribosomal RNA", at positions 353 to 542 of the family's 1533-position model. Lineage: Bacteria; Pseudomonadati; Pseudomonadota; Gammaproteobacteria; Enterobacterales; Enterobacteriaceae. The record is from RNAcentral.
AGUGGGGAAUAUUGCAAGCAAUGGGCGGCAAGCCUGAUGCAGCCAUGCCGCGUGUGUGAAGAAGGCCUUCGGGUUGUAAAGCACUUUCAGCGGGGAGGAAGGCGAUGAGGUUAAUAACCUUGGCGAUUGACGUUACCCGCAGAAGAAGCACCGGCUAACUCCGUGCCAGCAGCCGCGGUAAUACGGAGGGUGCAAGCGUU